RNAcentral lists this ribosomal RNA (292 nucleotides) under uncultured Acidobacteriota bacterium. Its description in RNAcentral is "uncultured Acidobacteria bacterium partial 16S ribosomal RNA". The record is from RNAcentral. Lineage: Bacteria; Pseudomonadati; Acidobacteriota.
GGACUACCGGGGUAUCUAAUCCUGUUUGCUCCCCUAGCUUUCGUGCAUCAGCGUCAGUUAUGGUCCAGUGAGCCGCUUUCGCCACAGGUGUUCCUUCCGAUAUCUACGCAUUUCACCGCUACACCGGAAAUUCCACUCACCUCUCCCAUACUCAAGCCCGACAGUUUCGCAUGCAGACUUCGGGUUGAGCCCGAAGAUUUCACAUGUGACUUAUCAAACCGCCUACGCACCCUUUACGCCCAAUAAUUCCGAACAACGCUUGCCCCCCUCGUAUUACCGCGGCUGCUGGCAC